Molecule: long non-coding RNA, 1636 nt
Filed under: Brassica napus (rape)
Lineage: Eukaryota; Viridiplantae; Streptophyta; Magnoliopsida; Brassicales; Brassicaceae
Description: long non-coding RNA (BNAP_LNC012804)
Source: RNAcentral
CAGCUGGUGGAGAAGGCGGUGGAGCAAGGGUAUGAUGUUAGCAAGCUUCACAAGACAGCUCAGAGUGACACACCACCCGAGUCCGACUCUGCUCCUGACGACACCAAGGGCAUUUGGUGGCUCAAAUCUAUCUUCGGCAAAUAGUUACCUGACACAUUAAAAGACUUGUUUCACCUCCUUGUACUUGCUCUGUCUGUGUAAUAAGUAGUUUGAUUUUUGGUCAAACUUUCUACAUCAAAUACAAUUAGUGUGACAGACCUCUUUUCAGCAUAAAUAAAAACUAGAUUGGAAAAAAAAUCAGGCAAUGUUACUGGUAGGAUGAAAUAAAUAUGCUUAGUAACAAACUAACAAUAGUAUUUCAUUCUUAAGCAUAUGUUACAUAACCUUUCUGAAGAAAAAGGGGAUAAAAUACAUUCUAUAAUCUUACGUUUCGUUCAGACAUGUCUUUAUCCUUCUGACUUUAAUUUUUUAAGAUUACGUUUUGUUGCAGGAUGAGAGUAACGGAAUGGUGUCCAGUGGCUAUUAGAUUUGGUCUUGAUUCUUUCUAGUCCAUGGCCCUCUCUACCGGUUGCAUCUAUUUUUCUUCAGUUAAAUACCAUUUUUGUCACGUUCUCGCCCAUUGUAUUUUGUAUUCUACCCCACCGAACAACGAAAAGAAAAAGAGACAUUUGUGUUUAACUUUCACAUUGUAACUCAUAGAUGCCGCUAGAACCAUCUGCCCUACACGCUUCCCACGUGUCAACCUCUCCUCCCACGGAAAUCUCCUUCGUUAAAUAGAACCCAUCUUUCUUAUCCCAUUACCUCAGACGAAAAUAAUAUCUUGAAUCUUAGAGAAAGAUGACGACCGAGAAGAAAGAGAUGGAAGUGGUGAAAGGUCUAGACUUGGAGAGGUACAUGGGCCGUUGGUACGAGAUUGCUUCUUUCCCAUCCAGGUUCCAACCCAAGAACGGUGCAGACACUCGCGCCACCUACACCCUUAACCCCGACGGGACCGUGAAAGUCUUGAACGAGACGUGGGACGGAGGCAAGAGAGGUUUCAUCCAAGGCUCAGCUUUCAAAACCGAUCCUAAGAGCGACGAGGCCAAGUUCAAAGUCAGGUUCUACGUCCCCCCUUUCCUUCCAAUCAUUCCCGUUACCGGCGACUACUGGGUGCUGUAUAUCGAUCCUGAGUACCAGCAUGCCGUCAUUGGCCAGCCUUCAAGGAGUUAUCUCUGGGUAGGUUUCUUUGUUUUAUGAUGAAUAAUAAAAAAAAAAAGCUAACAAGGAUUGAUAUUGACUUAUAUGUGGGCUGUGUAGAUCCUGAGCAGGACGGCGCACGUGGAGGAAGAGACAUACAAGCAGCUGGUGGAGAAGGCGGUGGAGCAAGGGUAUGAUGUUAGCAAGCUUCGCAAGACAGCUCAGAGUGACACACCACCCGAGUCCGACUCUGCUCCUGACGACACCAAGGGCAUUUGGUGGCUCAAAUCUAUCUUCGGCAAAUAGUUACCUGACACAUUAAAAGACUUGUUUCACCUCCUUGUACUUGCUCUGUCUGUGUAAUAAUAUACUACCCCUUUUGUUUACUCCAGUAAUGAACGUUCUACUUUUGUUGGUUUUAAACAUCUAAAUCUAUUUGCAUUGAGUAACGGAGUCCAGA